This 71-nucleotide transfer RNA is filed under the name Phrynosoma platyrhinos (Desert horned lizard). RNAcentral's name for it is "tRNA-OTHER". The record is from RNAcentral. Lineage: Eukaryota; Metazoa; Chordata; Lepidosauria; Squamata; Phrynosomatidae.
GCCAUUGUGGCGCAGUGGUUUGAGUGUUGAACUAGGACUCUGGAGACCAGGGUUUGAUUCCCAGCUUGGCC